GUUCCAAGCAGGCGCGCGGGAAGCAGUCGCGUGGCGUCGUUCCUAUGUUUUCGUUCUGGUGUCGCAGGGCUUGACGGGGUGAAUACAGGGACGAUGUUUCCUCUGGUUGAUGUCUAGAACCGGGGGUCAAGUCCCAGAAGAAGGGCUAGGUCAUUUCAGACUGAGUGUUUGAAAUGGAGCAGAGAGCAAGUCAUCAAACAGCUUCUACUAAUUACUCUCCAUACAGUUGGCAGAUUGCAUCUCUAUUACCAGAGUCACCCUUGCAUCUGGUGCCUGAGAUUGAAAGAUCUGGUCUUGAAUGGUUUGACACCUGGGUUUAUGAAGUGAUGGAAGAAGUUGGUAACAGGGACCAAGAUGUGCCAGCCUCACCUUUCAGUGAUACUGCUGAGAAACUGCUGAAUUCCCAGGAUACAGUCCCUGGGGCGAGGCUUGAACCACAACCUACUGCCACUGAAGAAAGAAUGCUGCCACUAAACAACUUUAAUCAAAAGAGUAAGUGCAUUAUCACAGGAGUAAAAGUAGAUAAUUGUGGCUGCAUUUUUGUUACUUUAUUGAGAUUAUAUAUACAUACAGCAAUACAAUAAAUGUACAUGCAGAAUUAUUCAUCUAUAUCCUUUUAAAUUCGUGAAAUGUGAAAUACAUAAUUAAGUGCCUAAAUCACAAUGUGCUAUAAUAUUAUAAUUUGGCAACUUAACCAUAAAAGUAGCAGUUUGCUUUACGCUUUUCAUCUUUGAUAACUGAUAUAUUUAAGAUAUUCAGAAGAAUGGCUUUAAAUUCAUUCCUAUUGGAAGAAAUGCUGUGUAGUAACUGAAGGCAAGAAUUCAAAUUACUAAUGCAUUUGAUUUAUUUUUCACCACGUUGCGACUUCAUGUUACUUUUUGUCUGAAAUAUAAGGCAGAGGAGUAGUAAGCAAGAACGGGGAUGAAACCAUUAAAUGGUAUCAUGUCCAAACGAGAAAGAAGCUUGCCCUUUAGAAAUAGUCUGAAGAAUAACCAGUUUCUGUCUGGGGAAGCCAUGGUUUAGUAAGCUCAGUUCCAAGCUCAUUCACUUUUUUGUUUUUUUUUAAAAACUUAGAUGGGUGUAAAACACUAAAAAUCAAUAUUAAGAUUAGUGGCCUUGGUUAGUAAUACAGUUUACAAUAUUAUGUUAAAUAUGCCUAUAGAUUUAUAGUGGUCAUUCUUGACUCUUAAAGUUGCUGAAUGUUACCAAAUUUCAUGGUGCAUUCUUUGCAAUAAUUUACUAAUUAUUUUACGUAAGAGGGGUAUUUUGUUUUUAUAUUCUAAACAUAAUGGAUAAUAAUAAAAUGUCUUUUUUCUUCCUAAAAUUGAAGCAACUGAGCUGAAAAAUGAAAAAUCUGUUUUAUAGUUUUCGAUAUACUGAGCCCAAGGGAGCAGAGUUUAAAUUUGACUUGAUUUUGGCACACGAAUUUACCAAACUAUUUAACUUUCAAAAAUUGCAACACCACCCCUUGCUGAAAAAUGCAUAUCUCUCACCUGUAAGCAUGGUAAUUUAACCAUCUGUAAUUAUGAAGUACAAGGGCAACACCUUGUGGGAAUUCAAAGCUAUUGCAGCUCUGACCAAUAAAUAAGAAUUCUGAAUUUCAACUAAGAAGGUUUCAUAGUUAGAUGAUUGGCUUUAACAUACCAUCUGUGAUUACGUACUUAUGUUACAAAAAUUACAGUCCGCUUAGGAUUGUUAACUAUUAAACUUCGAUCUCUUUCUGACUUUCUCAACUAAACAAAGAUGGACAUGUGAAACAGACUUCCACGUGGAGGCAAUUGACUCAGUUAAUUCUUAAAAGGAGCUGCAUGGAUGGGAAUUUAAGUUAAGAGAGAUAGCAACAGCUGAUUGAGGAUUGUGUUUUGGGGAAGGUGAAGGAUAAAUUUGGUGCUGCUUAGAGUAUCAGUACAAUUAGAGGGAGUCCUUAAAUAAUUAAUGGGCAGUGGAUGAACUGAGCUGCUUGAUGAGCUGAAUGCUCUUGUCUUUUCCUGAUUCUUUUUUCAUAUAUUAAUCUAAAGACUACUUGAGAAAUAAAGCUGCCAAUUGUACUGAAGGGUGUAGGUGUUUCACCAUCAGAAAGUUUCUGUCCCUACUUAGGGAUAACUACUGAAUAGCAAUAGAACUCAGGCUGAAGAGGUCACAAACUAUGUG
Long non-coding RNA from Pristis pectinata (smalltooth sawfish), 2151 nucleotides. RefSeq lists it as uncharacterized. Lineage: Eukaryota; Metazoa; Chordata; Chondrichthyes; Rhinopristiformes; Pristidae. The transcript is spliced from 5 exons. The record is from RefSeq and is a predicted model, not a curated record.